RNAcentral lists this unclassified non-coding RNA (146 nucleotides) under uncultured Rhizoscyphus. RNAcentral describes it as "sequence contains ITS2". The record is from RNAcentral. Lineage: Eukaryota; Fungi; Ascomycota; Leotiomycetes; Helotiales; Helotiaceae.
AAACCAAAUCCAGCUUGCUGGGUCUUGGGCCUUUCGCCUCUGGGCGGGCCUUAAAAUCAGUGGCGGUGCUAUCUAGCUCUAAGCGUAGUAAUACUUCUCGCUAUAGAUACUAGGCGGCUUACCUGCCAAUAACACUAUUUUUCAAA